This 1794-nucleotide long non-coding RNA is filed under the name Nicotiana tabacum (common tobacco). Its description in RNAcentral is "long non-coding RNA (NTAB_LNC013023)". The record is from RNAcentral. Lineage: Eukaryota; Viridiplantae; Streptophyta; Magnoliopsida; Solanales; Solanaceae.
UAGGCAGAAGUUUCAAUUAAAACUCAGAAUAACGAGAACACAACAUAUAACUAAAUUUGACUAAACCUAAUGCUAACCAGGCAUCCAUAAUAAUUCAGAAUCAUGCUAAAGUUCGAUUAUACAAUACCAAAGUCUAACUACUAAUUCAAAUGGCCAAAGUGUGACCCAAGUUUCAUAAUAGCCCUAUGCUAAACAUACUAAUAACAAUCAUUUACUUAAACCAGAAUUUAAUCCAUUAAGACAACAAACAGAUUUUAGAUGUAAAAUCAGAGCAAGACCAUUAAAUCAACAAAGUAUAAAAUGUCAUGCUUCAAAUUCAGCUUUUCAUUUCAAUCUUCAAGUUCACUUCACAACACUGAGGCUCAAAGUAGAUACCUGGAUAUAGCCAAAAAAAAAAUAAAGAAUUUCAGCAAGGGAAUUGUGAGAUCAACAACAGUUAAGCAGCAAAACAACCAUUAAAAUCAACUCCAACCAAGAAUGAGGUGCAGCAACAACAGUUCCAAUCAAACAGUAGCCCAGCAAGCUUUAAACCAAUUUUGACAACCAGAUUCAACCCAUUUUAUACUCAGAUGAGUCCAUAUUGUUUCAGAAAUUGAAUAAAUUCAAAACAAAUCACUGAAGAGACCCAAUGAAACAGUAAUAAUCAGCCGUUUUGUAUUUCUGUAUUUUUGUUUCUCUUAAAACUCUCAAAACCGAUUCAUUUCGGCCCUCAGAUAAGUCAGAAUUCAAUUCAGGAGUUGGAAAUCUAAGAAAUCACCAAGGAAACUCAAUGAAACAGUAAUUUUUGCAGCCGUUUUUAUUUUUUUCUGAAUUUUAUCUAUUAAGCUCUGCCUUUCAAUGCAAGAAAGCAUGCCUUUAUAGGCCAGGAAGUAGGGCAGCUUUCAGAUUUUAAUAUUUACCCCCUUAGUGCCUUUCCAAUUCUCAUUUUUGCUGCUUAAUCCCUAAACUUCUGACUUGCUGGCCAAGUAAGGCCUUUUUUUCCAGCUUCUAGGAAGCUUCCUAGAUAGUUACCAAAAGAUUCCCUACCCCCAAUUUCCCAAAUUAACUUUUAAAUCUUCUGUUUUUACCCUCAGCAACCAAACAAACCAAGCUUGACCCAGAACCUUUGGGCUCCAAACAGAGACGGGCUUCUAAUGCCCCCCAAGUCUUCCUUACUCAAGGCCCUGAAACUAAUCAAAAAUUAGCCUGGUAACGAAUUGAGCAAAGUCUGACAAAAUUCCCAAAAUAAUUAACAAGCCCGAAUUAAACCCAACAGGAAUCCAAAUCAAACAGAGACAAAUUCCAAUAAAAUAUUAAUCUAAUUACAUGAUUGAAAAGCUUAAAAACCAUUGAUUUUAAUUAGACUGAAACUAAUUCGAAUCACAGGAAAAUAUGAAAACCAGAAAAGAAAAUAAACAAAGGACGAAAAGAAAAGAAAGAAAUAAAGUACCGUUGCAAUCCGCCAUGGAUCGAUGAAGACGAGCCAAUAUCGUCGUUAAUCAGUUGUUCUGAACAAGAACAAUUUCUUAACAAAGUUCUAAGUCAAGUCGAGUCUUGAAACGUUAUUUUCUUUCUGAAUUCAAAUCUAAACUUGAAGAAGAUUGGGGAUUUUGGGGGAAAUUGGCACCAGAUUAACGUCUGAAGGGGUAUGGGGAGUAGAUGGUGAGAGUUUUGGAGUGAUUUGGAGCUUUCUUCCUUCGAAAAUGGCAGAACUUAGGGUUGCAUUAGGGUUAAGACAUGAAGAGAUGAGAGAUGGGAAACUGAAGGGUCUCUGUAUUUUCGAACAUUAUUAUGUGGCAAAGGAGAUAGUUUUAG